AGUGAACGCUGGCGGCAGGCUUAACACAUGCAAGUCGAACGGCAGCACAGUAAGAGCUUGCUCUGACGGGUGGCGAGAGGCGGACGGGUGAGGAGAAUAUCGGAAUCUACUUUUUCGUGGAGGAUAACGUAGGUAAACUUACGAUAAUACCGCAUACGACGUACGGGUGAAAGCAGGGGAUCUUUGGAGCUUGCGCGGUUGAAUGAGCCGAUGUUGUAUUAGCUAGUUGGGGGGGUAAAGACCCACCAGGGGGACGAUACGUAGCUGGUGUGAGAGGCUGAUCGCCCACCCUGGAGCUGGGCCACGGUCCAGACUCCUACGGGAGGCAGCAGUGGGGAAUGUUAGACAGUGGGCGGAAGCCUGAUCCAGCCAUCCCACGUGUGAUAAGGAGGCCUUCGGGGUGUAAAGCCCUUUUGUUGGUAGAGAAAAGCUUCCGGUUAAUACCCCGCUGUUCUGACGGUACCCAAAGAAUAAGCACCGGCUAACUUCGUG
RNAcentral lists this ribosomal RNA (492 nucleotides) under uncultured bacterium. Its description in RNAcentral is "partial 16S ribosomal RNA". It matches the Rfam family "Bacterial small subunit ribosomal RNA", at positions 29 to 507 of the family's 1533-position model. The record is from RNAcentral.